Molecule: transfer RNA, 66 nt
Filed under: unidentified
Description: Epeorus unispinosus tRNA-Leu
Rfam family: tRNA
About the family: Transfer RNA (tRNA) molecules are approximately 80 nucleotides in length. Their secondary structure includes four short double-helical elements and three loops (D, anti-codon, and T loops).
Source: RNAcentral
UCUAGUAUGGCAGAUAAGUGCAAUGGAUUUAAGCUCCUUACAUAGAGGUUUGCCCUCUUAUUAGAA